This 413-nucleotide ribosomal RNA is filed under the name uncultured bacterium. RNAcentral's name for it is "bacterial SSU rRNA". It matches the Rfam family "Bacterial small subunit ribosomal RNA", at positions 505 to 916 of the family's 1533-position model. The record is from RNAcentral.
GUGCCAGCAGCCGCGGUAAUACGAAAGGGGCAAGCGUUGCUCGGAUUUACUGGGCGUAAAGAGAUCGUAGGUGGCUUGUUAAGUCGGAUGUGAAAUCCCGGGGCUCAACCCCGGAACUGCAUUCGAUACUGGCAGGCUUGAGUUCGGGAGGGGUAAGCGGAAUUCCGUGUGUAGCAGUGAAAUGCGUAGAUAUACGGAGGAACACCUGAGGCGAAGGCGGCUUACUGGACCGAUACUGACACUGAGGAUCGAAAGCGUGGGUAGCAAACAGGAUUAGAUACCCUGGUAGUCCACGCCCUAAACGAUGUCAACUAGCCGUUGCGGGUAUCGACCCCUGCAGUGGCGCAGCUAACGCGAUAAGUUGACCGCCUGGGGAGUACGGCCGCAAGGCUAAAACUCAAAUGAAUUGACGG